AGACCCUUUUGUUAAAAUCACGGGAAUUAAGAAAGUGGAUAUUUGUAUUAAAGUUGUUUGUAAUCACUAUUGUUUUUACAAUUUUAUCCUUAAGAGAGAGAGUUAGUUUAUAUUUUCCAUAUGCUAUUUAUUGCUGAUUGAAGAAAAAUAUGUAUAAUAAAUAGGGGCAUGUAUGUAAAAAAAUAAUUAAUGUAGUUGGAAAUAACAAAGGGGUCUUAUAAAAAGG
Molecule: long non-coding RNA, 226 nt
Filed under: Medicago truncatula (barrel medic)
Lineage: Eukaryota; Viridiplantae; Streptophyta; Magnoliopsida; Fabales; Fabaceae
Description: long non-coding RNA (MTRU_LNC008295)
Source: RNAcentral